CGAACGGGUGAGUAAUGCGUGACCAACCUGCCCCAUGCUCCAGAAUAGCUCUUGGAAACGGGUGGUAAUGCUGGAUGCUCCAACUUGACGCAUGUCUUGUUGGGAAAGUGUUUAGUGGCAUGGGAUGGGGUCGCGUCCUAUCAGCUUGUAGGCGGGGUAAUGGCCCACCUAGGCUUCGACGGGUAGCCGGCCUGAGAGGGCGGACGGCCACAUUGGGACUGAGAUACGGCCCAAACUCCUACGGGAGGCAGCAGUC
This 256-nucleotide ribosomal RNA is filed under the name uncultured Gardnerella sp. RNAcentral's name for it is "partial 16S ribosomal RNA". It matches the Rfam family "Bacterial small subunit ribosomal RNA", at positions 99 to 355 of the family's 1533-position model. Lineage: Bacteria; Bacillati; Actinomycetota; Actinomycetes; Bifidobacteriales; Bifidobacteriaceae. The record is from RNAcentral.